This 1258-nucleotide long non-coding RNA is filed under the name Lynx canadensis (Canada lynx). RNAcentral describes it as "lncRNA (ENSLCNG00005006795.1)". The record is from RNAcentral. Lineage: Eukaryota; Metazoa; Chordata; Mammalia; Carnivora; Felidae.
AUUCACUACAUUUACUUGUAUGACUAUGAAUGACAUUAACACACUGAAAAUCUUCAAGUUCCUUAAAGAAGUUUUUUCUCAUAAAUUAACCCUGGCUGCCUAACCAAAUUACAUUUUCAAGAAAGUAUGUCCUCUGAAAUUGCUUAUAGUAUGUACCUCACACACAAAGUUACCUAUCUUAGUUACUCUGGUUGCCAGCAGAGUGAUUCACUUUCAAUAACAGUUUUGUUUGUAAUUUUCUAGGAACUACAGCCCUUUACUCAUCAAGCAACAGUAAACCAAAACUGCCAACAUUGUUUACCAUGUUGAAAAAUUAAAAUUAUCUUCAUGAAUAGUGCUCAAAUGCUGGUACAUGGCUAAAUGAAUCAUCUUUGUCUUAAAGCAGAAAGGUGACAAAGCCUAUGAGGACUCUGGAUUACUUGGAAUAAAGAAAGACAAGGAAGAGAAAGCUAAAUAACAGACUGAAAAGAGGAGAAAAACUAACCUAAAAUUCCACCGAUGGAUUGCAUCAUGUAUGCUUAAGACUGGCUACUACACCACUCUUUCUGAUGCUGAAGAUAAAAAGGACUAUGUUUCACUCUGUUUUAAAGUUAAUUUGUGCUUAUUAAGAUCUCAGGUUAUUCCACAAACAACUGGUAUUUGUAUCAACUGGUAACAAUUGCAAGUGACCGUAAGACUUUGAAAUACUCUGAAACAUUGCAGACCUCACUUUAUGUAAGAAGGCUCUUUGAACAUUUUUAAAGUAGCACUUUUUAUACAGAGACUUAAAUAAAACCCAGUGCUAUCACUUACUGUACCAUAAUGAAACAAAAAUCGGAUGGAACUUGCCCAUCACAGAACCUAACUUGAGAGAAUCUGGUAUCUUUCAAUCUUGUAGUCAGUGCAUUUGUAGACUAUAAUAUUAUUAAACAACUUCUUAAUGUUACUCUUUGAAUCAUCAGAAGGCUUACAACUUUCGUCUUGAUUACAAUUCCAAUUUUCCCUUUCACCUAUUGUGUUUUAUAAGAUAAGAUAGGUGAGUGGAAUGCGCUCAUUUGUCAUUUGUUCUCUCUACGUAACGCAGUCUCCUCUUACUGUGGUUACACUUCCAAAGUGAAUUAUUUGUCAGAUUCAGUAAGCAUUUCCUUUCUAAUUGCCUAACUCAGUAGAGAUGUUGUAACUUAAGAGACGGGUGUGGUCUGGAGUGUUGAUCCUCAACAUAGCAUGGUCCACUGGUCACUGUAUACGAAGUGAGCCCUUCAGAGCCGUGGGAGUCCAG